RNAcentral lists this ribosomal RNA (422 nucleotides) under uncultured bacterium. Its description in RNAcentral is "bacterial SSU rRNA". It matches the Rfam family "Bacterial small subunit ribosomal RNA", at positions 355 to 774 of the family's 1533-position model. The record is from RNAcentral.
UGAGGAAUAUUGGUCAAUGGGCGCAAGCCUGAACCAGCCAUGCCGCGUGCAGGAUGAAGCAUCUAUGGUGUGUAAACUGCUUUUGUACGGGAAGAAACCACCCCUCGUGAGGGGUAUUGACGGUACCGUAAGAAUAAGGAUCGGCUAACUCCGUACCAGCAGCCGCGGUAAUACGGAGGAUCCAAGCGUUAUCCGGAUUUACUGGGUUUAAAGGGUGCGUAGGUGGGUCUGUAAGUCAGUGGUGAAAUCUUCGAGCUUAACUCGGAAACUGCCAUUGAUACUAUAGGUCUUGAAUUAUUGGGAAGUAACUAGAAUAUGUAGUGUAGCGGUGAAAUGCUUAGAGAUUACAUGGAAUACCGAUUGCGAAGGCAGGUUACUACCAAUGGAUUGACGCUGAUGGACGAAAGCGUGGGUAGCGAACA